ACACGCAUGACACACUGCAUAUCAAUAAGCGGAGGAAAAGAAACUAACAAGGAUUCCCUUAGUAACGGCGAGUGAAGCGGGAAGAGCUCAAAUUUGAAAUCUUCAAGGUUCUACCUUGACGAAUUGUAGUUUAAAGAAGUGUUUUCUGUUGAAGUUUUGGUAAAAGUUCUUUGGAAUAGGACAUCAUAGAGGGUGAGAAUCCCGUAUUUGACCAUUAUUUUCAGCUGUGUGAUACACUCUCGAAGAGUCGGAUUGUUUGGGAAUGCAGUCCAAAAUGGGUGGUAAAUUUCAUCUAAAGCUAAAUAUUGGCGAGAGACCGAUAGCGAACAAGUACCGUGAGGGAAAGAUGAAAAGAACUUUGAAAAGAGAGUUAAACAGUACGUGAAAUUGUCAAAAGGGAAGCGUUUGACACCAGUGUUGUUUUCUCGAAAAUCAAUUAAAAAUGAUGGGAUUUUGUGUUGUAUUGACUUUAUCAGCUUUCUGCACUUUUUUCCUGUCUUUUUAAUGCACUUUUCGUUUAACAAGUCAACAUCAAUUUCUUUUGCUGUAAAAGAGUCAUUGGAAGGUGGCUUUCUUUUCGGAGAAAGUGUUUAUAGCCUUUGACUUCUGCAGUCGGAGAGAUUGAGGUCUGCAGCGUAGAUCCUUCGGGGUUAGAUACAUUUGUGCUAAGCUAUAGCCUUUCAUAGACAACUUGUUGACUAUGAUCAGUCAUGUAGCUUACUCGCUUAUGCUAUUUUACCUACGCUUAGGAUGUUGAGCGCAUGUCUCUCUCU
RNAcentral lists this ribosomal RNA (773 nucleotides) under uncultured Neocallimastigales. RNAcentral describes it as "partial large subunit ribosomal RNA". It matches the Rfam family "Eukaryotic large subunit ribosomal RNA", at positions 23 to 616 of the family's 3401-position model. Lineage: Eukaryota; Fungi; Neocallimastigomycota; Neocallimastigomycetes; Neocallimastigales. The record is from RNAcentral.